UCUGGGCUCAGGGUUCGUGCCGCGCCGCAAAGGUGGGGGUGGCGCGUCUUGCUCCUCAUCGUUUGCCAGGGACGGUUGGGUCGGAGCAAGCAGGAGAGCGCCGCGGAGUCACCAGCGGCGACAAUGAGCUCCUCGAUGCGCUGGAGCCAGUCGUCGUGGCAGUCAGGAGCAAGCCGGUAGCGAAGCAGCUCGGUGGCCAUGGCAAGCACGCGCCGGCCGUGGGGCAUCUCUGGCCGGGCGCGCGAUACCGACCCUGAAGGCCGGACGAGUGACGGAUUGGCG
This 282-nucleotide long non-coding RNA is filed under the name Hordeum vulgare. Its description in RNAcentral is "long non-coding RNA (HVUL_LNC009880)". Lineage: Eukaryota; Viridiplantae; Streptophyta; Magnoliopsida; Poales; Poaceae. The record is from RNAcentral.